RNAcentral lists this ribosomal RNA (1297 nucleotides) under Thermococcus sp. Its description in RNAcentral is "16S ribosomal RNA". It matches the Rfam family "Archaeal small subunit ribosomal RNA", at positions 20 to 1318 of the family's 1478-position model. The record is from RNAcentral. Lineage: Archaea; Methanobacteriati; Methanobacteriota; Thermococci; Thermococcales; Thermococcaceae.
GAGGCCACUGCUAUGGGGGUCCGACUAAGCCAUGCGAGUCAUGGGGCGCGCUCUGCGACCGGCGGACGGCUCAGUAACACGUCGGUAACCUACCCUCGGGAGGGGGAUAACCCCGGGAAACUGGGGCUAAUCCCCCAUAGGCCUGGGGUACUGGAAGGUCCCCAGGCCGAAAGGGUCUUUGACCGCCCGAGGAUGGGCCGGCGGCCGAUUAGGUAGUUGGUGGGGUAACGGCCCACCAAGCCGAAGAUCGGUACGGGCCAUGAGAGUGGGAAGCCCGGAGAUGGACACUGAGACACGGGUCCAGGCCCUACGGGGCGCAUGUCAGGCGCGAAACCUCCGCAAUGCGGGCAACCGCGACGGGGGGACCCCCAGUGCCGUGGCAUCGCCACGGCUUUUCCGGAGUGUAAAAAGCUCCGGGAAUAAGGGCUGGGCAAGGCCGGUGGCNGCCGCCGCGGUAAUACCGGCGGCCCGAGUGGUGGCCGCUAUUAUUGGGCCUAAAGCGUCCGUAGCCGGGCCCGUAAGUCCCUGGCGAAUCCCACGGCUCAACCGUGGGGCUUGCUGGGGAUACUGCGGGCCUUGGGACCGGGAGAGGCCGGGGGUACCCCUGGGGUAGGGGUGAAAUCCUAUAAUCCCAGGGGGACCGCCAGUGCGAAGGCGCCCGGCUGGAACGGGUCCACGGUGAGGGACGAAGGCCAGGGGAGCGAACCGGAUUAGAUACCCGGGUAGUCCUGGCUGUAAAGGAUGCGGGCUAGGUGUCGGGCGAGCUUCGAAGCUCGCCCGGUGCCGGAGGGAAGCCGUUAAGCCCGCCGCCUGGGGAGUACGGCCGCAAGGCUGAAACUUAAAGGAAUUGGCGGGGGAGCACUACAAGGGGUGGAGCGUGCGGUUUAAUUGGAUUCAACGCCGGGAACCUCACCGGGGGCGACNGCNGGAUGAANGCCAGGCUGAANGUCUUNCCGGACNCGCCGAGAGGAGGUGCAUGGCCGCCGUCAGCUCGUACCGUGAGGCGUCUUAAGUGUGGUAACGAGCGAGACCCGCGCCCCCAGUUGCCAGUCCUCCCCGCUGGGGAGGAGGCACUCUGGGGGGACNNCCGGCGAUAGCCGGAGGAAGGAGCGGGCGACGGUAGGUCAGUAUGCCCCGAAACCCCCGGGCUACACGCGCGCUACAAUGGGCGGGACAAUGGGAUCCGACCCCGAAAGGGGAAGGGAAUCCCCUAAACCCGCCCUCAGUUCGGAUCGCGGGCUGCAACUCGCCCGCGUGAAGCUGGAAUCCCUAGUACCCGCGUGUCAUCAUCGCGCGG